UACGGAGGGUGCGAGCGUUGUCCGGAAUCACUGGGCGUAAAGGGCGCGUAGGUGGCGCGGGCAGUCAACGGUGAAAGUUCGGGGCUCAACCCUGAAUCGGCCGUCGAUACUCCCGGGCUUGAGCACUGUAGAGGCAGGUGGAAUUCCGGGUGUAGCGGUGGAAUGCGUAGAGAUCCGGAAGAACACCGGUGGCGAAGGCGGCCUGCUGGGCAGUAGCUGACGCUGAGGCGCGACAGCGUGGGGAGCAAACAGG
Molecule: ribosomal RNA, 253 nt
Filed under: uncultured bacterium
Lineage: Bacteria
Description: partial 16S ribosomal RNA
Rfam family: Bacterial small subunit ribosomal RNA
Source: RNAcentral